RNAcentral lists this ribosomal RNA (417 nucleotides) under Acteon tornatilis. RNAcentral's name for it is "partial 16S ribosomal RNA". It matches the Rfam family "Bacterial large subunit ribosomal RNA", at positions 1842 to 2608 of the family's 2925-position model. The record is from RNAcentral. Lineage: Eukaryota; Metazoa; Mollusca; Gastropoda; Acteonidae.
UAUAUUUAAGAUAUAACCUGCCCAGUGUUUCUAAAGAAAUAAAUGGCCGCGGUACUUUGACCGUGCUAAGGUAGCAUAAUCAAUUGACUUUUAAUUGGAGCCCGGUAUGAAAGGAUUUUCGGGGGCCACCUGUCUCCUGUGCUUUUUCUUGAAAUUUCUGUUUAGGUGAAAAAGCCUAAUAUUAAAAAAAAGACGAGAAGACCCUAGGAAUUAAGAUUUUGUUGGGGUGACAAAGGAACAAAUUGACCUUCCUAUUAUAUUUAUCUUACAGGACGAUUCUAAGAGAGAUAAAAUUACCCUAGGGAUAACAGCAUAAUUUAUUUUUAAGAUUGUGACCUCGAUGUUGGACUAGGAAUGAGAUAGGCUAGCCGCUUAUUUUAAUAGUUCUGUUCGAACUAGAAUUCCUACGUGAUCUGA